CAACCCUUCUCCGGGUGGUCAACAAAAAUCCCAGCCCUUUACCAGGCGGUCGCGUUCCCUAUCCGCUAGGCAGUCAAGCAAUAACAAUAAAUGCGUUCCCUGCCGCUAGGCAGUCAAGCAAUAACAAUAAAUGCGUUCCCUGCCCGCUAGGCAGUCAAGCAAUAACAAUAAAUUCGAACCAUACACCAGCUGUCUCACACACACACAUACACA
Non-coding RNA from Pelobates cultripes (western spadefoot toad), 213 nucleotides. The record is from the annotation of a GenBank genome assembly. Lineage: Eukaryota; Metazoa; Chordata; Amphibia; Anura; Pelobatidae.